GCAAUUUAUAACACCCUUUGACAUCAAACUAUAUGAAAGAUAUUAAGCUCUACAAGAUAUUGCUUCCUAAAAUUGCCCAAGUUCGGUAAAAGAACGCAUAACAUUAGUAGCAAAUCCAUGAGCUCAACUAAUCGGCUGCUGGGGACAUCUCAGCACCACUGUUUCUGCAGUGAGACCAGGCCCAAACCCAAAGAGAAUCCCCCACUCUAGACCCUCCCCAGCAGUGCCGAACCCAUUCUCUUCCGACGUCCUCCUCAUCGCCUCCAUCACAAACAACACACAAGCACUCCACAUGUUCCCGUAAUCUCUCAGCACCUCCCUCGUGCUCGCCAGUUUCUCCGCCCUCAACCCAAGCCUCUUCUCAAUUUCAUCAAGUAUGGCCCUCCCACCCGGGUGCACCACCCAGAACGCCUCGUUCCAGUCGGUGAUUCCCACCGGACGUAGUGCCUCUCCGACCAAUUUCUCGAUGCUCGCAGAUAUGUGAGCUGGGAUCUUCGGCUGCAGACUGAACAUAAGCCCCACCUCCCUCAGCUUCCCCACUAUGGCCCCUUCUGAUCCAUCAAUUAUGUUCUGAGAGGUCCACAUUAUCUCAAACAACGCCUUCUCCACUCCUAGCUCCGGCUCUGCUCCCACCACCACUGCUGCCGCACCAUCCCCGAACAAAGCCUGCCCAACCAGGUUCUCAAUAUGGUCCUCACAUGGCCCCCGGAAACUGAUCGUUGUCACCUCCGAUGAGACUACCAGCACACGGGCACCGUGGUUGUUCUCAGCUAGAUCCUUUGCGAGACGGAGGACGGUGCCACCCCCAAAGCAACCCUGCUGGUAGAGCAUGAACCGCUUGAUGGAUAGGGGGAGGCCGAGGAGGCGGAUGAAGUCGUAGUCAGCACCAGGCAUGGAGGCGCCUCCACUGCUGCAGAAGAUAAGGUGGGUGAUGUCAGACUUGGGUCGACCCCAGUCCUCGAUAGCUU
This 968-nucleotide unclassified non-coding RNA is filed under the name Hevea brasiliensis (rubber tree). Lineage: Eukaryota; Viridiplantae; Streptophyta; Magnoliopsida; Malpighiales; Euphorbiaceae. The record is from RNAcentral.